UAUUGGGACAUAUAAAAAAAGACAACUCUGUUCCGCAGAGUAGCUGUUGACAUUAUAGUUGCGCAGGCACUUUGUUGACUCUCGGGAACCUCGUGGCAAUCGCACAUCCCCGUGACGGCGACUUUGCAUUCGGAUGUCAUCCAUAUCAACUUUCGAUGCCAGUUUUUGCGCCUACCAUGGUGACCACGGGUAACGGGGAAUCAGGGUUCCAUUUCGUACAGGGACCCUGAGAAACAGCUACCACAUGCAAGGAAGGCAGCAGGCGCGCAAAUGACCCACUCCCAACACGGGAAGGUA
This is a non-coding RNA of Pelobates cultripes (western spadefoot toad), 297 nucleotides long. The record is from the annotation of a GenBank genome assembly. NCBI's taxonomy places the organism in Eukaryota, Metazoa, Chordata, Amphibia, Anura, Pelobatidae.